CAGUCGCCACGGGAAUACGUAGGUGGCAAGCGUUGUCCGGAAUUAUUGGGCGUAAAGGGCUCGCAGGCGGUUUCUUAAGUCUGAUGUGAAAGCCCCUGGCUCAACCGGGGAGGGUCAUUGGAAACUGGGAAACUUGAGUGCAGAAGAGGAGAGUGGAAUUCCACGUGUAGCGGUGGAAUGCGUAGAGAUGUGGAGGAACACCAGUGGCGAAGGCGACUCUCUGGUCUGUAACUGACGCUGAGGAGCGAAAGCGUGGGGAGCGAACAGGAUUAGAUACCCGGGUAGUCCCUGUCUCUUAUAC
RNAcentral lists this ribosomal RNA (301 nucleotides) under uncultured bacterium. RNAcentral's name for it is "partial 16S ribosomal RNA". It matches the Rfam family "Bacterial small subunit ribosomal RNA", at positions 509 to 807 of the family's 1533-position model. The record is from RNAcentral.